Molecule: long non-coding RNA, 6478 nt
Filed under: Brassica rapa (field mustard)
Lineage: Eukaryota; Viridiplantae; Streptophyta; Magnoliopsida; Brassicales; Brassicaceae
Description: long non-coding RNA (BRAP_LNC007962)
Source: RNAcentral
CAGGCACGUUAGCAAUUUGUUCAGUCGCUGUUAUUACUCUAUUGAUGUCUGCCACUGAAGAGGGUAUUGCAGCAGGCGUCUCGUUGUUGGGCUGGCCAACAUUUAGAGCCGUUGUUGACUCUGAGAUAGCUCCUGUUUUGAACUUAGGUUUUGGUUUAGCAUGGAUACCCGUGUAAGCCUGCACACAAGUCCAGAAGAUUUCGACUUAAAAACAGAAUGCUCAAUAGAGAUUUUGACAGAAUAUGAGACUCAAAGUAGAUGGACUCACCGAGCAUGCCUAGCGUACUCUUCAUAGUUCUCAAGUAGCAUCUUUCCAGCCUGUUCGUUUAAUGCAGAUUCUGGAAAUGGCUCGAUUAGUAAGCACCUCACAACCUGUUACCAUGUACAAACACACACAAAGAAAAGCUCACUCUCUCAAGUAUUAAGUAAUCUGAUCAAAGAAAUGAAAACACACAAGGGUGAAGGAUCUUACAGGGAGAACAUGUCUCAAUCCAAGACUAGGGUUCCAAUCUUUCUUAAGCGUGUUAACGCAAAUCAAGAAAAACUUGGUGUGCACAUAUUUACAUUUCAUAUAUUAUUGUGAAACUUGUCUUGUCUGUGUUUGCUAAUAUAAGAGAAAAUCAUAAUAUAUAUUUUUACGAAAGAUUGGAAUGACCAUAAGAAUAUAUUAUAAUAAAUAUAUUGGACAUUAUUUUCUUGAUAUAUUACAAAAGUAAUAAUUAAUUAAAAAAACACAUUAAACUACCAUAAUAAAUGUAUCGAUUUCUGUAAUUUUCAAUUUUCAAUAACAUUUAACCAAUAAUAAUUUAAUAAAGUCAAUUAAUUUUCUUGAAGUUUACAAUUUUUUUAUAGAAAACUAAAAAAAUACAUCUUUUUGAAACGAACGUUUUUCCUAGAAAGUCUAUUAUUAAGGAACGGAGGGAGUAGUUGUUAUCUAGCCAUGAAGGCAUUUAAUGUAAACACACAAAUUUACAAAACAAUUAAUAUAAAUAACUGAAUAAAGUAAAUAUAUUUAGCUGAAUUAUUCAGACUAAGAUUAUUCAAAACAUUUAGUCCAUAAUAACAAUUUUAAUUUAUAUAUAUUACAUUUUGAAAAAUCUGUUUCAAUAUACAAAUUAUAUCUUGACAAGGCAAUCUGAAAGAAAAUAAAACUUUCACACUAAUAUUCAUAUGCUUAGGUAAAUGAAUCAUGCACUUUUAUAUUAUUUUGACUAUAAUCUGAGAAAAUCAUUGAAAGAUUUUCUUUACAAAAAUAUAACUAAUGCAAGUUUAUGUUUAUAUGUAGAUUGAUAUGCUUAGGUAAAUGAAUCAUGCACUUUUAUAUUAUUUUAACUAUAAUCUCAGAAAAUUAAUUUAAAGAUUUUCUUUACAAAAAAUAUAACUAAUGCAAGUUUAUGUUUAUAUUCUUAGGUAAAUGAAUCAUGCACUUUUAUAUUGUUUUGACUAUAAUCUCAAAAAAUGAAUUAAAAAGUUUUUUUUUAAAAAAACAUAAUUAAUGCAAGUUUAUGUUUAUAUGCUUAGGUAAAUGAAUCAUGCACUUUUAUAUUAUUUUGACUAUAAUCUCAGAAAAUUAAUUGAAAGAUUUUCUUUACAAAAAUAUAAUUGAUGCAAGUUUAUGUUUAUAUGCUUAGGUAAAUGAAUCAUGCACUUUUAUAUUAUUUUGACUAUAAUCUCAAAAAAUUAAUUGAAAGAUUUUCUUUAGAAAAAUAUAAUUAACACAAGUUUAUGUUUUUAUGUAGAUUGAUAUGCUUAGGUAAAUGAAUCAUGCACUUUUAUAUUAUUUUGACUAUAAUCUCAGAAAAUUAAUUGAAAGAUUUUCUUAAAAAAAUAUAAAUAAUGCAAGUUUAUGUUUAUAUGCUUAGGUAAAUAAAUCAUGCACUUUUAUAUUAUUUUGACUAUAAUCUCAGAAAAUUAAUUGAAAGAUUUUCCUUACAAAAUAUAAUUGAUGCAAGUUUAUGUUUAUAUGCUUAGGUACAUGAAUCAUGCACUUUUAUAUUAUUUUGACUAUAAUCUCAGAAAAUUAAUUGAAAGAUUUUCUUUACAAAAAUAUAAUUAAUGCAAGUUUAUGUUUAUAUGUAUAUAUAUAUAUAUAUAUCAAUCUAAAAUAUAAUAGAACUCUCAAACAAUUUAUAAAACAUCCUACAAAAUGAGUAUCUCCGAAAAAUGUAUAUUAAUCGCAUUUGUUUUCACUCUUUUCUUCGCGAUGUCAAUUGUUAGCUGCACCGAUAUUGUUUCAGGUACUACAUUAAAAUUUAAUUUUUAGUUAUGCUAAAGUCUUCAUUCCUGCAUAAUUUUAAUAUUUUAUUAUUUCUUACUAUUCGAAUAGAUUUCGGAGUAAAGAAAGCAUAUAAUCUAUGCUAUGGUCCAUGUGACGACAAAGGAGUGUGUGAGCCGUUUUGUUAUACCAAAAAGGGUCCGAUAAGGGGAGACUGUGUUGGUGGCACUUGUUGUUGUGCUGAACAUUAAAUAAAAUAUUAAAUAAUAUCAUUAGAUAUUAUAUCUUGUAUGAAAUGAAAUAAUACUACCAAUAAUACAUAAAAUGCUUUUACAAAAAAAAUAUAUAAAAUGUUAUUAAAUUUAAGUUACUUUGAUUAACCUCGAGAAAACAUUAGUCAAAGUUGCAUGUCUUUUCUAAAAAAACAUUAAUAAAAUAAUAGUAUAUAUUAAUAAUGUAAACAUCCAGCAUGACAUAGAACUUUAAAAUAUGGAAGGGAAAACACGUGAAGAACAAUUAACGUUACAUAUAUAUCUCAUGCAACAAUAAAUGAAGUGAAAAAGCAAACUAAUAAAAAAUCGGUAAAUGUAAUUAAGUGAAAAAUAAAAAUAUUCAUUUAAAAAUAAAAUAUUAAUUUUUCAUUUUUACAUAUAUUCAUUUAAUAAAAGGAAACUAAUAAGUAAAUGUAAAUGUAACUAAGUGAAAAAUAAAAAUAUUCAUUUAAAAAUAAAAUAUUAUUUUUUCCUUUGCAUAUAUAUAUUCAUUUUUUUCUUUUACCAAAAUAAAUAUUCAUUUUUUAAACAUAUAAAUAAAUCCUAUGAACGGAGACGUCUCAUAAACCCUACAUAGUAGAAGCUCUGCAGAUGCAUUCAGUCCAUGUUGUCAUUCAGCUUCUAUUGGGCCGAAUUUCUGUCACCAUUCUUAUAUACUCUAUUCUUCAUUUUGAUAUCUUUUUUUUUUUUGAAACUAUUCAUUUUGAUAUCUUUUGAGUCAACAUAAUAAAUCACGAGAAUAAACCUCUCUAACACGAGAUUCCACUUCGACAAUACAUAUCUCCACAACCUUAAGCAAAAGAACAACAUAGUACAUAUGUUAAAUUCACAUUUGGGUAAGAAAUUGAUAGGUUUCGCCGAUGGAUCAUGUCUUCAUCGUCAAUCUAGCUGUUGCGACUAGGCAUUUACUUGGAUGAAUUUAUGUGAUAAAUCAUGUUCCAAGUAGUUAAAAACUUUUUAUUCUUAUUUCAGGUAUUAAAAUUGAAAUUUGUUAUAAGUUCAGGUAUCGGUCGCAUCAUUUGUUUCGUUUAAACUAAAAUUAUUCAGUUACGAACUGUUUCAUGUCACCAUUUUACGGACAUGAUGACGGUUGUAUGUAUUUAAAAGUCUUUUAUUCUAAGUUGAUGUAUUAAAUUUAAAUUCGUUAUUAGUCUAAAUAUCAGAUCACACAAUCAAAUAGUUUAUAUAUUGAUUAGGCGAUAUGGCCUAGUUCGUGCACUAGCUCGCCAUUUUGCCUAGUUUCAUGUCUUGAUUGAAUUAUUACAACUAUUCUUAUGGAUUUGAGUGAGUAGAUCUAGAGAAACAUGAUGUAAAUAAAGUUUAUUAAGGUUUAAUGAUAUUAUAGGUGUUGAUAAUCAAUGGACAUAUAUACGUGAGAGAGAUUUCAUGAAGUCGAAAGAAAAUAAAAAAUUGUAAGAUGACAAGAAUAAUAUAUAUAAGUUUACAGAAAAAAAGAAUGAUAUAUAUAUAUAUAUAUAUAUAUGUGGAAGGAAAAACACAUGAAGAACAUGCAAAAUUAACGUUACAUAUAUAUGUCUCAUGCAAAAAUAAAUGAAGUGAAAAAAGAAAACUAAUAAGUGAAUGUAAAUGUAAUUAAGUGAAAAUAUUCAUUUUUUCUAGACAUAUAAAUAAACCGUAUGACGGAGACGUCUCAUAAACAUAGUAGAAUAGGAGGCGGAUGAAGCAUUAGCUUCACGGCCAAUUACAAUAAAUAUUAUUUUGGGGCAAAAUUAUGUGAAAGGUGUCAUUGGUUCAGUGGUUGAGUAUGCUGCUCUAAACUGAUCACGUCACCAGUUUGAGAUAGUUUAGCACUGUUUUUAUCAGUUAUUUUAGGUUAAAUAUUUUAUACUAAAACAAAGGGGAAAUCACAUUUUAAACAUUGAGAGUGUCAUUUUCUAAUACUUUAAACACUGAAGUUAUUUUACAAGCAUUUUAAACCUUUAAAGUGACAUUUUUAUCAUAAUAAACCUUCAAAGACGUUUUCCUGUUCAUAGACGACCAGUACUGUUUAUUUUACCAGUAUAUAGAAAAUAAAGUUUGGAACCUUUGUUGUCUCCGUUUCUCUAGAGAAUAGCGAUUUUAUAGUGGUUAGUUAUAUAGAGCAUUUACCGAUUUUAUAUUCGUAGGGGUUAAUACAUAGAUUUUGAGAAGAAAAAUCAAAAAUAUGAUAAUACUAUUUUAAUGCAUAGUUGGAUCAUGCACUAACAUAUGAUGAAUGUCAAAGAGUUUUGGAACCUUUAUUGUCUCCGUUUCUCUAGAGAAUAGCGAUUUUAUAGUGGAUACUCCACUAAUUUUGGGUGUAUUGUGAAAAUAAGGUUUGCAUCAUGCGAAAAUAAGGUUUGGAACCUUUGUUUAGAAAUUUUAAAACAACACUAAAGAUCAUAGGCUUCAGAGUAUAAAGCAUUUAUCGAAAAACUCAAUAUUUUCGUAGGAGUUAACACAUAGAUUUUGAAAAAAAAAUCAAAAAUAUGACAAUACUGUUUUAAUGCAUGGUUGCAUCAUGCACUAACAUAUGAUGAAGUUCAAAGAGGUUUAAGAUCUUUGUUAUCUCCGUUUCUCUAGAGAAUAACGAUUUUAUAGUGGUUAGUCCACUAAUUUAUGGAGUAUUGUGAAGUUUUACUAAAUUAAUUGAUAAAAAUUAAAAUGAUGUCCAUGUACCAUGAAAUAUAGUUUAAUAUACAUUAAUACAAAUGUAGAAUGUGUUGAAGAAUCGGCUCCAAAAAAGGCAAGUGGAGAUGUUGAAGAAUCUGGCUGAUCCAGUGAGGUUUAGUGCAUGGUAUCAACACUCCAAAUGGUCUUAGAUGUAAUGAAUGUCUCCUGGUUUCCUCACGUGAGUUUGAGUUGCACACUCCUUAAGCAAAGAAUUACUUUCCUUAAAUGGAACCAGUUCGGAUGCAAUGUAGAUAGUCUGACUUGUAAAUGGCAUAUCUCCUAAACCAUUACUCCUUUUGGUAUAAAACCAAUUCGCCGUGUGCUCUUGUUGAGUGUAGAAUCCAGGAAAACCGGUUUCAUUGAUAAAUUCCUCCUGGUUUAUAAGAUAUAGCGUUUUGAUUGCACAUAUGUCCUGGUUGGCUUCUUAGCUUUCCUCAGCUUCAUGUUCUUCACUGAUUUACUCCUGGUUCCUUUCUCCUUUUCUGAUGAUGACUUGAGGUCCUCAUCAAUUUAAUAUACAAUUAGUUGAGUAAGUUUGAUGGCCACACAGGUUAUGAUGUUUGAUGAAAGAGGAGAUUAGAGUUCCAUGUGCUAAUAUAUGGUAUUGUUUUCUAUUUUCAGAUGUAAUAUACAAUUAAUUGUUAUAUUACUUGUUGGAAAUAUUGUGUAUUGAUUUGAUAUAAAAUUAGUUGAGUAAAUUUGAAGGUCACACAGCUUAUUAUACGAUGUUUGAUGAAAGAGGAGAUUAGUAGAAGUGGCUGCAUAUAAUAUAUGGAUUUGUUUUCUAUUUUUAGAAAUUUCUAAGUGUCACUCCAACUUUGAUAGGAAAAGAGUUGAGCAAAAAGGGGGCAGAGUCAUGAUGACAUGACAGAAGAAUCCAAACAUUAUGAGAUGGAGAUAAGAUAAAUGACACUAAUUGAGAAGUAUCAUCAUAGUCUCUUCAAGCUCUUCUUUCUGGCAUCUACCUUCUUCUUGUCUGCCUGAACCUUGGCCAAACCGGCUUCUCUUUUCUGUGUCGUAGUGGCCACACUUGCAGAUCCUGCUGCUGCUGCUACAGGCACGUUAGCAAUUUGUUCAGUCGCUGUUAUUACUCUAUUGAUGUCUGCCACUGAAGAGGGUAUUGCAGCAGGCGACUCGUUGUUGGGCUGGCCAACAUUUAGAGCCGUUGUUGACUCUGAGAUAGCUCCUGUUUUGAACUUAGGUUUUGGUUUAGCAUGGAUACCCGUGUAAAGCCUGCACACAAGUCCAGAAGAUUUAGACUUAAAAACAGAAUGCUCAAAAGAGAUUUUGACAGAAUAUGAGACUCAAAGUAGAUGGACUCACCGAGCAUGCCUAGCGU